This 253-nucleotide ribosomal RNA is filed under the name uncultured bacterium. Its description in RNAcentral is "partial 16S ribosomal RNA". It matches the Rfam family "Bacterial small subunit ribosomal RNA", at positions 524 to 776 of the family's 1533-position model. The record is from RNAcentral.
UACGGGGGGGGCAAGCGUUGUUCGGAAUUACUGGGCGUAAAGGGCUCGUAGGUGGCCAACUAAGUCAGACGUGAAAUCCCUCGGCUUAACCGGGGAACUGCGUCUGAUACUGGAUGGCUUGAGUUUGGGAGAGGGACGCGGAAUUCCAGGUGUAGCGGUGAAAUGCGUAGAGAUCGAGAGGAACACCAGUGGCGAAGGCGAGUUCCUGGACAAGUCCUGACGCUGAGGCACGAAAGCCAGGGGAGCAAACAGG